UACGUAGGGGGCUAGCGUUGUCCGGAAUCAUUGGGCGUAAAGCGCGUGUAGGCGGUUCGGUAAGUCCGCUGUGAAAGUCGGGGGCUCAACCCUCGAAAGCCGGUGGAUACUGUGGGGCUAGAGUCCGGAAGAGGCGAGUGGAAUUCCUGGUGUAGCGGUGAAAUGCGCAGAUAUCGGGAAGAACACCCGUGGCGAAGGCGGCUCUCUGGGACGGUACUGACGCUGAGACGCGAAAGCGUGGGGAGCGAACAGG
This 253-nucleotide ribosomal RNA is filed under the name uncultured bacterium. RNAcentral's name for it is "partial 16S ribosomal RNA". It matches the Rfam family "Bacterial small subunit ribosomal RNA", at positions 524 to 776 of the family's 1533-position model. The record is from RNAcentral.